Molecule: ribosomal RNA, 253 nt
Filed under: uncultured bacterium
Lineage: Bacteria
Description: partial 16S ribosomal RNA
Rfam family: Bacterial small subunit ribosomal RNA
Source: RNAcentral
UACGUAGGGGGCUAGCGUUGUCCGGAAUCAUUGGGCGUAAAGCGCGUGUAGGCGGUUCGGUAAGUCCGCUGUGAAAGUCCAGGGCUCAACCCUGGGAUGCCGGUGGAUACUGUCGGGCUCGAGUCCGGAAGAGGCGAGUGGAAUUCCUGGUGUAGCGGUGAAAUGCGCAGAUAUCAGGAGGAACACCAAUGGCGAAGGCAGCUCGCUGGGACGUGACUGACGCUGAGACGCGAAAGCGUGGGGAGCAAACAGG